This is a long non-coding RNA of Cyprinus carpio carpio, 6656 nucleotides long. Lineage: Eukaryota; Metazoa; Chordata; Actinopteri; Cypriniformes; Cyprinidae. The record is from Ensembl.
GCCAGAUUGCUUUUCCCACAGGUGCCAGGGCAGCAGAAUGCCGAAUGAACAGUGCUCCUGUCUAAUUUUACUUCCCACCUAGGCAGAUAGGAUAUGACAUUCACAUCUAUAGAGUGAAGAUGAAUGCUUGGAGUCAGCAUUUUUGGGAUUUUUUUAUUUAUUUUUUUCACAGGGCUCAAUGAUAAGUGUGAGGCUGGUUCGGGCUUGUUGACAGAACCGCCACUUGCUUAGAUGGGCCAAUGCUGGAUUUACUCUAUGUUGCUGUCAUGCCACCUCUUUGCCCUCUACAAAGGUUUGCUGUUAUUGGGUAAUGAUGUGUAGGGUUAGAGGUGACAGGCGUCAGGCGUCAGGCUAAUUAGUGGCAAUGGAUCCUCUGCAGUGGAUGGGUGCCGUUAAUGAGAGCCCAAACAGCUGACAAAAACAUCACAGUAUUCCACUGAUCAAUCUGAAGAAAACAAGACACCAGAUGCUCUGUAAAUAUCGAAAAUUUAACGAUGGACACACAUUGAGAUGCAGCUCAGCUGAUGUUCACAUUAUUCCACGUAUAUCUUCAAAUUUGAACAUGACCAAAUGGUGGUUAUAUUUCCAAGGCAGAAGAAGAGAGAAUCUCCUUUGUGAGAGAAGCCUCUUGUGUCACUGUGUGCUGAGGACUGUGAUAUCUCAGCAGGCCAAACACCACGUUCCUCUUCAGGAAGUAUUGAGCCCCAGUUGAUGCUCCUGGCCCCCAGGUGAACUCUGUAAAUGCCCGGUCCCUCUUUUCUUCUCUUCUAUACCUCUCUGUUCGUGUCCUUCCUCCCUUGUGUACAGACUACCUUAAAAAAAAAAAAACAACUCCAGCUAGCUUCAAAGUGUCCUUUUUGUCUGUUGAAUGAUGCUUGUUGUUUGUAGUUUUAAAUGUCUUGUCAUUUACGAUAAAAUGCAAAUGUACUGAAGUGCCAGACUAGACAUGCAUGUGUGGGUGAUUUCUUAUGCAAUAUGUCCAUCUGAGACAGUCUUGAUUUAUUAAUGUUUUGAUAUCUGGAUGAUUUUUUGAUACAUGAAGGUACUGUAUGUAUACAUAUUUUAAUUUAUAAAUUAAAAACUGGAGACAAACAACAAUAAUUGAACACUACAAUUAGCCAUAAAUGUCAAGAAUAUAGUCAAUACUACUUGAUGAUGGGCACUAGUUAUUAUAUUAUUGUCAUUUUUUCCUCAACCCUAUGUUGUUUUAACCCCUUUGUUUUUGUCCUGUAAAACACAAAUGGAGUUUUAGGCAGGAUAUCAGAGCUCCUGAUUUCCAUGCAGGGAAUCCAACAUUUGAUCUGUUAAGCUUCAAAAGGACAAAAAACAUCCAUAAAAGUGUGUGUUUUUUGAAAGUCUGACUCUUGACACAAUUUAUUGAGUUUUAAAUGCAUAUUUGUGCAGUAACAGAAUGUAUUAGUGAUGCAGUAGCAAUAUGAAUUUUGGAAUAGAUUACACAUCUGUCAGGAGAGAUAAUGUAUGUUCAGCCUGUUUUCUUAGCAGACCGUUUUAAUUCUACAACAAAUUAUUGGUCUCAUAUCCAUGUUUAGCUGUCACAUUCAUCUCGCAAGAAUUUUUACCAGACAUUUUGAUUGUCUUCAAAUUCAGUACAUCAUUCAGUCUUACUCCUUUUAUUUCAUUUAUUUAUUUUUUUAAGGAAGAGGAGUGCAGACAGGAAAGCAGAGGGGAUAGAAAGGAGAAUGUGUUCUGGGCAUGACUCAGGUUGAAUUAAAACGUUUUGUUUAACAAGUAAUGAAUUCUUGCUGAUAUGCCGUUGACAUUAUAGACUGUUAGCUUGUUAUGUUUGUGAUGGAGCAGAAGCGCAUAGAUAGAGAACACAGAUGACCCUCAUACCAACACAGAACAUUUCCCAACAUUAGGGCAUGGUUCUUGCUUGGCUGUUUUAACCUUGUAGUUUUAUUUUUUAUAACAACAACAACAACAAAAAAAUGUUCCCAGAACAUGCUUGGUGUGUCAUUGCAGAUGGUGUGGUGUAUUUACAGUAUGUCUGUGUUUUUUUUUUCCUAUAGCCCAUUGAAAGUCCUGAACGUUUAACUUAUGUUUAAGUAUCUUAAGAGCCUGAUGCAGAAAAUCCCUUGUUAAGACAAGCUUUUCUUCCAGGGGUCUUAAUAGAGGAUUAGAGAGGAAUCCUCUGGCCAGAGCAGUCAUCUGAAUUUAAUCCACCUUGCAAGAUUGCCUUUAAUUGUCAUAACCUGACAGAACGGAACAACAGAGACUGAUGCAAAGCUCUAAAUUAGCCAUAGAGAAUUAAAAUGUGUCAAGCUGGUGUAUCUGGGGCUACAAGUAUCUGCAUCUGAUAAAAUCCUUACAUAUAAAUGUUGAUAAUUAAAAACAUGGACAAUUGAACAAAUUGACCUAAUUGGUCUGAUAAAGCUUUGCAGGCUCCUACAUGUUGUGAAUACAUUGGAGAUUGUCAUGAAAUAAGCAAAUAAAUGCUGAGGAAAACAUUAUAUGUUUUCAUUCAUUUUAAUCCCUUUGUGUUUUGUUCCUCAGUGUCCUCUCUUGGCUGCUGAAGAAUUUUAUUGGAAUAUUUUAGCAUGAGCCUGGCUUCCGAAGGACUCUCCUUUAUUUGAGCCCAGCAUGUGCCAGAUAUUUAACCCUUUAACCUUUUUCUGAUUGGAGAGGAAUGCUGGCCUAUCAUAAAAUAAAAUAAAAUAGGUACUAAAUGAAAUGGUCAAAAUGACUAUAUUUAAUAGGUGGUUGGACAGCCAUGAUAAUGCACUCUAAUGUGAUGAAUAAAUGCCAUUUUAGAUGGAGUGGAUAGAAAGAGAGUGAGAUAGAGAGCUUUUUCAAGUCAAAUUACAUGAGAGGUCUGGUGUUGUUUUAAAAGCUCUUGACAGUCUAGUAAUCACAUCAUUUACUAGUGUGUUAUGUUUGUACACUUCUUGAAAAUUAAUGAUAAAUAAUUUUUUAUUUUUUUAAACUAGCAAAAUGCAUCCUUAAUUCUUCAGCGGCCAUAUGAUUUUGCCUACAUUUUAAUGAUGUAUAUGGCUGUAUGAGGACUUUGUUGUGUGCUUCUAGUUUAAUGUGCUUCAAGCCAGCAGCUUCACUUUGAACUGGUGUAAUAAUGUCAUGCUUCAUCUAAUGAGUCAUUUUAUCCUGGCAUAUUCUAAUACCACACUGUCACUUCUAAUGAGUUUCAUAAACAUUUGCUUUGAAAUUUAAUUGAAUAAACCUCUCAUUCUGAAAAUGUGAUAUAAUGCCAAACUCAUCUCAACCCUUUGAAGCACCAUAAGCAUGUGCAAACCUCUAUAUCUGUAUAUUUCUACAUACCUGUAUACUUCAUUUGAACCUUUGCUCAAUUAUUUUUGUCUCUACCAGAGAGCUGUAAAAUCAAGUGUUUAUUUUUUUCCCUGUAACCAGAUAAAAAGGGAGAGUGACAGUACUGAGGUCCCCUCUGGAUAUAAAUGUGCACCAUUUGUGAUGAGACUGACAUGAACGGUCUGUUUAACUGUGUCAGAAUUGGACAUUUUUCAUGUUUAAAAAUUAUGCCUUGCAGUGUUUAGCAUACUCUGAUGAGCACAGUUUUUCAUACAAAAAAUAUUGCAUGUAAAAAAAUAAAAUAAAAUACUCCAGUGAUUAAAGAACAUCAUUAGCCAAGAUGGUACAUUUUCCAAAUUAAUUUGGAAGUCCUGAUUGUCCAUGAACCCCAUAAGAACUUGUCACACAGUUUUAUGAAAUAUGCCACCAGGCUUUUUCCUAGUGCCACUUUCUUUUUAUAGACUUUUUUUCUUUGAAGACAAACUAAGGUUAAAUAAUUUCUUGACAGGGAAUGGAUUGACAUAAAAUUGGACAGACAUUUUUGCAUGACCUGUCCAGGCUGUAAUCAUUGCAAGCAAUCAAUUCAUUGGGAACCAAGUUAAACCGGAACUCAAUUUGGUUUGUAGCCUGUGAGAUAAAUCUGAUUCUUCUUAAAGGACUUUCUCAUGGACUUUGCAUAGAUUCUUGAGAUAAAGGUCUAAGAUAUAUUAACUGGAGAGUGUUUAAAAAAUCAUUGUCGAAGGCAGAGGAAGGUACUGAUUUCAAGGGUGUCCAAUGAUCCAUGCAAGACUUUGCACCCAGUCAUUUACUCAUUUCAACAGGUAUAGAUGACAGAAACAGUCUCCCAUCUGCUCAUUUUAGACUUUGCUGGCAGUGCACUCAGUGAAAUGACUAUCAUUAGCUUAAAUAAAUAAAUAAAUUACCACAUAUAUAAACCCUUAAAAUAUAGUUAGUGAAACCGAAAAGGCAAUUUUACUUUGAUAAUUUUAGUAUUAUAUUUUUUUUUUAGAAGAAACAAUUGUUUUUGUGUUGUUGUUGUUGUUGUUGUUGUUGUUUUAUAUGAAUUUUUACCUAAAUUCAUUACUUGAGACUUAUGUGCCCUCUAGAAGCUUGCAUGCUGCAAGUGAACGUUGCUUUAUUGUGCCAUCCCAAAGAGGCACAAAAUCACUUUCACAGACUUCAAGUAUCGUCUAAAAACGCAUCUCUUCCAUCUUUAUUUGACCCUCUAACUCUAGCACUCUCUAUUCUAAUUCUAUUCUUUUAAAAAAAACUUAUCCCUUUUAGACUUGCACUCUAUUCAUUUACUGCUUGUUACUAUUUGUUUUCUUUUCGCUAACUUUUCUAAUCUUUUUGUAUUCUAUUUGUUCUCUUUUUAUUUAUUAUACAGUUAGCAAAAGCAAAAAAGGCCUCUAACACUAGCUUGCUCUAUUCUUUUUCUAUUAUAUCGGUUUUCUUUUUAUUUGACUUGUUAUACAGUAGCACUUGCAUAUCAUUGCUCUUUUGUUGAUUUUGAUUUGCUUCCAUUGUCCUUAUUUGUACAUAAGUCGCUUUGGAUAAAAGUGUCUGCUAAAUGACUAAAUGUAAAUGAAACAAAUGGCUCAUACUGAGACAGAGCAAAAUAUUAGGCUGUCUAUUUUUUGUUCUAUUACUGUUCUAAUAUUGUUACUCCAGUCCAGUGGCGGCUCGUGGGUUUUAAAAUAGAAGAGGCACACUAAUUGUAUUGGUCUGGGAUCCCUGCCGAUUAUUAUUAUUAGUAUUAUUGUUAUUAUUUGCUUAACCACUUUAAAAUGGCUUUUUUAAAAUGGCUUCAUUUAGUCAAAAAAACGUAAAGAAAACGACACACAUACAACAAAAUAAUAUAAUUUCACUUACCUGGCCUAUCACUUGAAGCAAACAUCCAUCCCUUCUUAAAAGUCUGUGUUAAAAGAGAGCUGCCCAUUGUGCAAUUUCACUACUCAUCAUAAGUACUUGAAUCAUCAUCAGUGCAGUGCGAGACAUUCAAACUAAUAUCACGUAAUUUACAUCUCUAUGAUGAGUGGUUGAUAUCAGAAGGGAGGCUAGCCUCCUCUACGAGGUUUCUUUUCUCAACACUCCUCAGCGCUGAAAGUGAACACACGAUGCUGAUUGGCUAAUUUUUUUUUACCAACUGAGGCACGAGAGCUCAAAUCUCCCCCGGCCUCCCCUUACCCUUCUCUAUCACCUAGUGGUUGUAAUUACAUCAGCAGAUUCGGCACAUUCGCGAUAGAAAAGGAGCACUUUCCAACUUCAGUAAAAUGUUAUGGUAUUACAGCUGUGAAAUUACAAACAAAAAAAUACACAUUCUGAGACAUGAACUGAAAUGAAUUGUGAAUUUUAUUAACAUUAAAUAGUCCUUCUCCCAUUUUCACCUCAGAAUUGCCUCCCCUGACGAGCCGCCACAGCUCCAGUCCUAUUGUUGUUACCUGGUUCUUUCUUAUCACUGCUGCUCUAAAAAUAUCAAAAGCUCAAAAAGAAAAAGUAGAAGCAAGUGCAGCCAAAUGUUUUUUGCUGAUAUGGUUAAAAAGAAACCCACUUUUUUAAGCUAAGAAUACGCCAGUGUGUGUUUAGACCCUAUUCUACAGAUGUGGAAGGCGUGCAGGAGAAGCGAGGGUGAGAGAGGACUGGUACAGAGUGAAACAGUGCACUUCUCUUGGCAGAAUCAUAGGCUGGCUCUCAUUAAAUAGGGACCUUGGGUACGUAACCAUGGAGAAGAUGGGACUGGGGCUGACCGGUCUCAGCUCUUGGGACCGUUCAUGAAGCGCCAUGCUGGAGACAGCUGGUUACCCAGGCAACGCAGAGACCCAUUCCACUCAGUGUAUAGAAUCAAAGAGAAAAACAGAUAUUAAAGUGUCAGCAUGUUUUUUGGGACGAGGCCCAUCUGCAUCUGCACUGUGAUUGUUUUUAGGGAUGCACAGUAUAUUGGUAUCAUAUUGGUUACUGGCCCAUAUUACCUUUUUUUUUUCUUGUAAAUUUAUCUGUAGUAAUUUAUAUUGGAUAUGUUUUUGGACAUGCCCAUGCCAUUCAUUUUUAAUAAUUAGGUUACCUUCGACACUAUCAAUUUCUCAUGUAAAGUUAAUCUUUAAAAACAAAUAAUUUAAUAACACUGAAAUGUUUGACAAAUCAAAAUAAACAUCCAUUUUUUUAUCAUUAUGUGAUGAAUAAAUGAACUUGCAUCAAUUUAAACCAACUGUUUUAAGUUUCAUUUUUAAUUUAUUCAGACAGAAAAGUUUAAUAUUCAUCAGAUAGCAGCCAUAAUAUGAAAAUAAUUAUUUAUAUUUCAUUAAUAAUUAAAGUAGUUAUCACUAUCUUUAACCACAUUAGACUAAACCACAUGGUUUAGCUGGAGAGUCGAUUUU